Molecule: long non-coding RNA, 2397 nt
Organism: Cyprinus carpio (common carp)
Lineage: Eukaryota; Metazoa; Chordata; Actinopteri; Cypriniformes; Cyprinidae
Source: Ensembl
AUGGCACAAUCACUGGAUCAACUGGCUCCGGCACAGAUCUUAGAUUUAUUAUGCUUGGCAGUGAUGAAGAUCUUAUGGAUGAUGCAUGUGACAUCAUUCUUAGGGAAUGAGCGGGAAGAACUGAAAUACAGCACAGAAAUGUAUUUGGCAAAAAGUCAUGUGGCAUCAUGCCUUUGCUUCUCCUCAGGAGUCAAAUCUAUCAAAGAUGAGAUGGUAGAUUGUGCAUCUCUGGUCUUUCCUGGACCUCAUGCAUUUCUAUUAGUUACUGACAACAGGAAAGGGACUGAGAAGGAAAAAGACCUUUUAAAAGCAAUUGCUAAAGUAUUUGGCAAAGAAGCCCUAGAUUAUGUUAUGUUAUUGAUUAUUGGAAGAACUCAACCGAAAGGGAUCAAAAGUGUCAGAGAGUAUGUUAGAAAGUUUUAUACAUUAGAGGACACUGAGCAUAGUGUUCAAAGUCUGUUCAGAGAAACUGAAAUAAUGACACAAAAGAAUGAGUCCACAUUCUUUAUUCAGCCAUCAUAUGAAAAGCUCAUGAAAAAGGCAUUUUUAUCAUGGGAAAAGGAAAGAGAUGCUGAAAUACAAAAACAGCAUGCACAAGAGAUGACUGAGUUAAAAGAAAAAUUUAGACUUACUGAAAGUAAUUUAAGGAAAGAAAUGGACAGUUUGAGACAGUUGAUGUUGGCAACUAAGAAUCGAUUAAAAAAAUACAAAGACAGCGAGGAGCAGAACCAGCAAGAGGCUUCAGGAGCUCAAGAAGAUCUGCUGUUCAAAGAAUGUAGCGACACCACCUUAAAAAACAUGUUUUCAUCCAUCAUUGAUGAUUUUACUGAACGUGAGAAUGCACUUAAAGAACAGCUUGCGGAUUGUAAAAAGUCUGUGAGCCACUGGAAGGACUUGUGUUACUCAUCCUUGACUGAUGUUGAUCAUGACAGUCAGAUGAAGAGUGAAAAUGAGAAGCUCCAAAGAGAACUGGAGGAACACAAACUCAAAGAAAGACAGUGGGAACAAAAACAUAAGGAAGUGGAGGACAGAUUAAGGCUGGAGACAAAUCUGAGGAGAAGAGAGAAGGAACUGGAGUCCAAAGAGAGAGGAAUGACAAAGAAAGAGCAAGAAAUCCAAACUAGUGGAGAAGAGCAUCAUCUACACAGCAACGUAGAGCUAACUUCUCCUACUGCUACGUCAAAAAAUCUCUUAAUGUUGUAGGUUUAACAUAAGCUCUCUUGAUGACCAGUUACAGUAAUGCAUUUCCAAUGAAAAUACAUUCAGCAUUUGCACAACAAAAGUACAUAUUUACAUACAUGACCCUGGAGCACAAAAGCAGUCUUAAGUCUCUGGGGUAUAUUUGUAGCAAUAGCCAAAAAUACAUUGUAUGGGUCAAAAUUAUAGAUUUUUCUUUUAUGCCAAAAAUCAUUAGUUUAUUAAGUAAAGAUCAUGUUCCAUGAAGAUAUUUUGUAAAUUUCCUACUGUAAAUAUAUCAAAACUUAAUUUUUGAUUAGUAAUAUGCAUUGCUAAGAAUUCAUUUGAACAACUUUAAAGGUGAUUUUCUCAAAAUUUUGAUUUUGUUGCACCCUCAGAUUCCAGAUUUUCAAAUAGUUGUAUCUCGGCCAAAUAUUGUCCUCCUAACAAACCAUACAUCAAUGGAAAACUUAUUUAAGAAGUAAGUUCACCUAAUAGUAAGUAUAUCAUUAAUCUACAUUCUGACAAAGAAGAAGAUUUGCAUUUGGCUUUUAAAGCAAAUGCAUGUAGUUUUGUGACUUUGGAGAUCCUUACUGUUGAGUGAGUAGAAUUCACUGUUGUACUGUAAAAGCAAUCUGCCCUUUUGGCAGAAUUUCGUACCCACUCACUAAACUUUUGGAAAGAAAAAGAAGAAUCCAUUGCCUUUUUGGAAGUCAGUAUAUCAUCAAAAUGAUUUUGAAACUGAUAUUUCAAGGUUAAAAAAACUUACAUUCAGUAGCUUACAACAACCAGCUCAUCCACGAGACUGAAGCAUUGCAAGCUCUGCUAGCUGUAGAUCAUAAUUAAUGUGUGGAAGAAAAUUACUGAUAAAGGUAUUUAUAGUUUACCCAAAAAUAAUCAUUCCAUCAUCAUUUACUAACAUAAUGUUCAAAACAUGUAAGACUGUCUUUAUCGCUGUUUUCCAUGCAAUUACUGUAAAUGCGCACUCAGGCUUAAAAAUAUCAUAAAGGUCCACACAUUAGUAUAUUCCAAUUGCUCUUUUGACUUUAAGUUUGAAAACUCUCCUUUAUUUGAAAUUAAUUGAAAGCAGAGACAGAUACAUAGCUAAUUAAAACAAAUCUCUUAAUUUCAGCUGACAUGUCAAACUAUUUAUUCAGUGGUUUAUAUUUAACAGGAUGUUAAGCGAAUAAAAGUUCUUUAUUGAAUCUAUGAAUUCCUUAU